RNAcentral lists this non-coding RNA (130 nucleotides) under Xanthomonas sp. RNAcentral's name for it is "SAM-I sequence". It matches the Rfam family "SAM riboswitch aptamer (S box leader)". Rfam says of the family: The SAM riboswitch is found upstream of a number of genes which code for proteins involved in methionine or cysteine biosynthesis in Gram-positive bacteria. The SAM riboswitch acts at the level of transcription termination control. The record is from RNAcentral. Lineage: Bacteria; Pseudomonadati; Pseudomonadota; Gammaproteobacteria; Lysobacterales; Lysobacteraceae.
CAUCCAUCGAGAUCCGGCGGAGGGACAGGCCCUUUGAUGCCGGGGCAACCUGAUGGGACCCGCGCUUGCCGCGGCGUCCAUCGCGGUGCCAAGUCCUGCGGGGACCUGCGAGUCCACCGGAAGAUGGUGA